GCAGGAUUAGCUCAGCUGGGAGAGCAUCUGCCUUACAAGCAGAGGGUCGGCGGUUCGAGCCCGUCAUCCUCCACCA
RNAcentral lists this transfer RNA (76 nucleotides) under Bacillus amyloliquefaciens DSM 7 = ATCC 23350. RNAcentral describes it as "tRNA-Val". It matches the Rfam family "tRNA". Rfam says of the family: Transfer RNA (tRNA) molecules are approximately 80 nucleotides in length. Their secondary structure includes four short double-helical elements and three loops (D, anti-codon, and T loops). Lineage: Bacteria; Bacillati; Bacillota; Bacilli; Caryophanales; Bacillaceae. The record is from RNAcentral.